Molecule: long non-coding RNA, 395 nt
Organism: Saccostrea cuccullata (small rock oyster)
Lineage: Eukaryota; Metazoa; Mollusca; Bivalvia; Ostreida; Ostreidae
Exons: 3
Source: RefSeq, a predicted model, not a curated record
CAGGCUAGUGCUGGAGCCAAAGAAAGAAAUGACAUGUCAGAAAAUAUUACUUCAACGGUCAAAAAAUAUUUCGAAUUUUGGAGACGUCGAAAAAAUGCAGCUCAUUUAUACAUAGAUGGUAGUAACCCAAUCUCAAAAGGCGGAGUGAUACAGUGGAAGGAUACGGAUCGUUUUGGCACUGCUUUUAUCUCAGACUUACUUUUGGAGGAUAACAAACAACUACUGAUUAAGGAAAAUGGAAAAUACUAUGUUUAUUUAGCACUAAACGUUCCACAAGAUCAGCGACGAGAGAGUAGGAAUUUUCACGUCAUUUUACGAGUUAAUAAAAGUACUAGAACACUAGGACCUGAUAUUCUUUUAAGCAAGAAAUUCAAAAACGAUGAAAAUAGGAAAAG